AUUGAACGCUGGCGGCAGGCUUAACACAUGCAAGUCGAGCGGGGGAAGGUAGCUUGCUACCGGACCUAGCGGCGGACGGGUGAGUAAUGCUUAGGAAUCUGACUAUUAGUGGGGGACAACAUUUCGAAAGGGAUGCUAAUACCUCAUACGUCCUACGAGAGAAAGCAGGGGAUCGUAGGACCUUGCGAUAAUAGAUGAGUCUAAGUCGGAUUAGCUAGUUGGUGGGGGAAAGGCCUACCAAGGCGACGAUCUUUAGCGGGUCUGAGAGGAUGAUCCGCCACACUGGGACUGAGACACGGCCCAGACUCCUACGGGAGGCAGCAGUGGGGAAUAUUGGACAAUGGGGGGAACCCUGAUCCAGCCAUGCCGCGUGUGUGAAGAAGGCCUUAUGGUUGUAAAGCACUUUAAGCGAGGAGGAGGCUACUUUAGUUAAUACCUGGAGAUAGUGGACGUUACUCGCAGAAUAAGCACCGGCUAACUCUGUGCCAGCAGCCGCCGUAA
RNAcentral lists this ribosomal RNA (501 nucleotides) under uncultured bacterium. Its description in RNAcentral is "partial 16S ribosomal RNA". It matches the Rfam family "Bacterial small subunit ribosomal RNA", at positions 30 to 523 of the family's 1533-position model. The record is from RNAcentral.